CUGUGUCGAUAUCUAUAAUUGGAUUUCGAUAGCUUCUGUUUGGAGAUCGACGUGAGAGUGAGGUUUAGAUGAAGUGAUGGUUCUAGUGUUGGUGCAAUGGCUUUAUUUGUGGCGAGGUUUGUAGACAUGGAUAACGUCUCCGAUGCUUAUGUUCUUCGUUGUGUGUCCUGCUCAUGGGAUGAAAUCUUUUACAGAUGACAGUAUCUUGUAGCGUCGCAGGAAAUUAUCAGAGGCUGAAAUUGUCAAUGUUAGAGGAUGAGGCUAUCAAAACUUACAUUCGUUUUGAAAUUGAACCUGGUAUGUGGCGUUUUUUUUUUUUUCAGAGAUUAACCGGCCAUGGCACAACCCUCAUUGUCAGGCUCAAGUUUCCCAGCUGUUGUCAAAUUGGAUAAAAGCUGGGGCUCACUCAAACAGGAUACCUGGAGCACCCCCCUGGCGGUCUCGGUGCCACAAUUUCGAUGACAUGCCUAUCUCCACAAAUAUACUCUCAGCGAGGCUUUGACCCAAUCAAUAUCCAGGAUGGAGCAGAGAGAAUGACCCAAACACUGAAAAAUGGAAUAAUUUAGUGAAUGGUGUAAGGUGCGCAGCUCUGCAAAUAUGAUACGAAGGAACCCUUGCAAGGUCCAGCAUAACCAAACAAGCAGCAAAGUAAUGACGCACUGUCAACGUAACCUUUUCCAGCUUGUCCUGAAAUAAUUUAAUCAGAACUCAAACCUAUAUCAACAACCUCUAAGAGCAGAACUAGAAGCUCCUUCAUCAGCAUUACAUUGUUCCUAUCCGGAAGAAAAGCAACAGCACGUGUGUCCGACAGAUUUCUCACUAUCCACAUACUUAACUCGUCAUACAAACACUGCAUGUUUCAAACGCUGCAUAUCGAAUCGAAGCCACGUCUAUAUCGGCCACCACCAAAAGACCACAUGAAGCCCCGCUGCUGCAAAUCAUACGGCAGAGAGCAACAUCUAUGAGACUUCGCGUUUGCUUGAAGCCUGAAAACGAUCCCAGCCCAAUCAAUCCACACUCAGCAACCUCAUUGACUUAAAGCAUACCGCGACAAGCUCCCUGCAUCCUUCGCACUUCAUAACCCGCUCUGCAGACAAUCGAAGAAAAAAACAUACUUACGAAGCACACGUUUCAAGCUUGGAUCCCAUGCGAUCUCGAAAUCCCAUCUCCCAGGAGGACUGAAAGCUUCCCCAGCUAAACACAUAGUAAAACAAAUUGUUGUAAGACCUCCAGCAAUAUCCACCUCCUCUAAUUAACCUUCACAGCAAUUAGCAGCUCCAAGUGAUCCACAACUUGCAGUGAUUCUGACAAAACGCUUUUGCAAUGUCAUGGCGAGGACAAAACACGCACCUUGGACAAAACCCAUGCCCG
This 1371-nucleotide long non-coding RNA is filed under the name Physcomitrium patens. RNAcentral's name for it is "long non-coding RNA (PPAT_LNC007613)". Lineage: Eukaryota; Viridiplantae; Streptophyta; Bryopsida; Funariales; Funariaceae. The record is from RNAcentral.